This 484-nucleotide ribosomal RNA is filed under the name uncultured bacterium. RNAcentral's name for it is "partial 16S ribosomal RNA". It matches the Rfam family "Bacterial small subunit ribosomal RNA", at positions 30 to 507 of the family's 1533-position model. The record is from RNAcentral.
AUUGAACGCUGGCGGCAGGCCUAACACAUGCAAGUCGAGCGGAUGAAGGGAGCUUGCUCCUGGAUUCAGCGGCGGACGGGUGAGUAAUGCCUAGGAAUCUGCCUGGUAGUGGGGGAUAACGUCCGGAAACGGGCGCUAAUACCGCAUACGUCCUGAGGGAGAAAGUGGGGGAUCUUCGGACCUCACGCUAUCAGAUGAGCCUAGGUCGGAUUAGCUAGUUGGUGGGGUAAAGGCCUACCAAGGCGACGAUCCGUAACUGGUCUGAGAGGAUGAUCAGUCACACUGGAACUGAGACACGGUCCAGACUCCUGCGGGAGGCAGCAGUGGGGAAUAUUGGACAAUGGGCGAAAGCCUGAUCCAGCCAUGCCGCGUGUGUGAAGAAGGUCUUCGGAUUGUAAAGCACUUUAAGUUGGGAGGAAGGGCAGUAAGUUAAUACCUUGCUGUUUUGACGUUACCAACAGAAUAAGCACCGGCUAACUUUGUG